AUUGAACGCUGGCGGCAUGCUUUACACAUGCAAGUCGAACGGCAGCGCGGGCUUCGGCCUGGCGGCGAGUGGCGAACGGGUGAGUAAUACAUCGGAACGUGCCCAGUAGUGGGGGAUAGCUCGGCGAAGGCCGGAUUAAUACCGCAUACGACCUGAGGGUGAAAGCGGGGGAUCUUCGGACCUCGCGCUAUUGGAGCGGCCGAUGGCAGAUUAGCUAGUUGGUGGGGUAAAGGCCUACCAAGGCGACGAUCUGUAGCUGGUCUGAGAGGACGACCAGCCACACUGGGACUGAGACACGGCCCAGACUCCUACGGGAGGCAGCAGUGGGGAAUUUUGGACAAUGGGCGAAAGCCUGAUCCAGCAAUGCCGCGUGUGUGAUGAAGGCCUUCGGGUUGUAAAGCACUUUUGGCGGGAACGAAAAGGACUGUGCCAAUACCACGGUUCGAUGACGGUACCCGCAGAAUAAGCACCGGCUAACUACGU
This 483-nucleotide ribosomal RNA is filed under the name uncultured bacterium. RNAcentral describes it as "partial 16S ribosomal RNA". It matches the Rfam family "Bacterial small subunit ribosomal RNA", at positions 29 to 506 of the family's 1533-position model. The record is from RNAcentral.